GGAGGUGAUGACUUACCCUUUUAUAAUAUAUUAUAUAACCAUGUACAAUAAAAUAAAUCUAUAAUGAAGUGUAAUGGAAAAGCGGAACAUGUCCGUCUUGAUGCUACUCUAUAAAUAUAUCUAUAUUAGGAUUGUACAAGGGACGAACUAGCUAUGUUGUAUAUGACCCGAACCUGGUUCUAACACUAACUCAAGACAAAUUUUCGACAUGAAAUCGACCCUAAACUCUGUCAAAAUUGAUGAGGUACGUGUCAGAUAAGGAUGAGACAAUACCAAGACAAGAUCAGGUUGGUCCAAGUCAAAAUCACCUGUACAUCAAGUCAAAAUUGAUGAGGUACGUGACUGAUACGAUUUGGAUUUGAAUUUACUUAUGAUUCUAAGUAGUAUAUCUUCGAUUGAGUUUUGAUGAUACGUAUUUUGAAAUAAGUUUCGUUAUGUUGUAAUAUAUGGUUUUAGCAUUGUGAUUUAAGAAUGAUGUUUUGAAAAUUAUGGUUAUAAUGGCGACGGCUUAGGUGCACCUAGUAUGUGAAUUCAAUUAGGUAUAGUUACCCCGUUAGAUGGAGCCGCCCCUAUGGAAAGGCCGUCAUUAGGAGGAGAGGGCUAUCAAUAAGAGGUAAACUCCCUAAUUUAAAAUGUUUUACACUUGUUUUGAGUCGAGAGAAAAGAUCUACCCGUUAGAUGGAGCCGCCCAUAUGGAAAGGACACCAUUAGGAGGAUAGGGCUAUCAACGAGAUGGAGCUAGUUCUCGAUUCACCCAUUUUGAUUAUUUUUACUAAAUGGAGUUUUCUAUAUUUUCUUUAAAGACUUUUAUCAAGAUUUUCGACAAUAUAUUUUUAAAGGCUUUUGUUAUGAUUUUCGGCGAUAUAUUUUCUAUAGGCUUGUAAUCUUAUUUUCACAUCUUUACAACAUUGAGAUUAGAAAUACUCUUAUUCAUGAUGUUGAUUUCACGUACAAUGAUUGAUAGUAAAUUAGCAAGUGUACUAAUUUGAAUCGAGUAAUAAAAUAAUUCUUUUCCUCAGGGACUGUUUUAAUCUCUACUUAACAAGAACAUUAUCAUUAAGAUGUAAUUAAAUUGGGGGUUGCCUUAGGCAAAUUGGUUUUGUGUGCAAUUGUGAUUCAAUUGACGAAAGUGACGGUGGUUUUUGAAAUAUUUUAGAGAGAUGACUAGGUCAUUCGAAUCAUCUGCAAUUCACUCAAUGGGCAACCUGGUUCUUAUGUCUACGAACGUCACAAAGUAAAUGAUGAAUCAACACAUUAACUUAGGUCAAUUCCUUGAUCCUAAGUCUGCUUAUCUAAUCAUAAUUCCCUAAUCCCUUAGGUGAACCUAUAAUUGUCAAAGGAUAUUAAGUCCGUUAAUUCAAUGAUCUCAACCUAACAACUCUCAAUCCCUAGAUUGUCUGUUAGACUGAAAAGCAUAAAUAGAUCCGAGUUACACGCUACGGUCAAUAGUCAUAUAAUCUCUUAAAUCAAUUAUAUUGGGUCAGAAUCAUAAAAGCAUUAAGAACAAGAUAUACUGAAUAAACUAGAUUGACAUUCAUAAACGUAAGAGUUUCAGGUUACAACCACAUGAGCUAUUACAUAAUCAUCUCUUGACCUAAUCACAAAGGACUUAGCUACUCAUGGCUAAAACAUAAAUAACUAAUGAUAAAGAAGAAUUCAUUACAUGAAAUUGAUAACUGGCUAUGAGUUUUGAUGGUCUCCCACCUUUUGCUCAGUGAUCCAGCUCCAAAAGUAUGAUUUUCUCUCCAAAAAUUCGAACCCUUCCUCCAGAAAUCGAUUUCCUUUUUGUAGGACAUUUAACAGAAACGCUAAAAUCGUACUCCGAUGCUCCAGAUCGGAGCACGAUGGCCCAGUCAACACAAAACUAACAUAGAAGCGUCUUCAAAAUCGUAGCCCGAUUUUGGGAAAUCAGACUCCGAUUUUUUACGAGACAACAUGUCUCACUUAAGCUGCACAAUCAUACUACGAUGUCACCAAAUCGUAGUACGAUUUUUCUCCUCUUCAGAAUUACAAAACAGCCAUUUUUUUCAGCUUCUGACUCAUGCAUAAUCACCUGAACUUAACCAAAACUACAUAAAAACUAUAACAAAAUGAUGUAUGACCUAAUGUCAUCAAUGAUACAAAGUAAUUGCAAGCAGAAAUAUUAAUGUUGCUUCUAAAUGUUAGAUAUGUGAUGGCUUGUAGUAAGGUUAUACGAAAAGGAUAAACUCACAAUUUAAAAGGUGUUAUAAAAAUUUCGCUAAUAAUUUAGUUCAUUUUAUUACAGUUUGGUUAAACAAGCUAAGAGCAACAUAUUUGUUAUGUCGGCGACAUUGGAUUAAGAAAUAUUCCUAUUUGAUUUUGGAUUAAUAGAAUUUUAUACGGUUAUUAGUUUUGUAAAUGAACAUUAGAUUUUGAGAAACUUAAUUACUCGUGUCCAUGUGUGUUUCCCUUAUAGUUGGUGGUGAUUGUUGUCUCCUCACUAAGUCUUUAUGACUUACCCCUUCUUCUUACAUUUUUUCAGAUUCAAAGUCAAGUGCGUAGAAAGCUUGUAGUAGAGUUAAACAUCUGUCAAUGUCAUCCUUUUGGGUAGGUCUCCUCUAUGUAUAAACUGAAUGGUGUAUGUAGCUGCAGCUAUUGGUAGUCGACAAAUGUUUUGUUUUGAGUUGUAUAAACAUCUAGUUAUGUCACUUUGAGAUUCUGCUGAUAAUACAAGUAUAUAGACAAGAUUCAUAUCUUGGAAAGUAUUCAAAAUAUAGAGGAUACUAUGUCAAAAUUUCAGUGGAUAUCAUUACAAGUGAAAGUCAAUUUGAAAAUUGUUUAAAUUAUAGUUUGUCAAGGGUCG
Molecule: long non-coding RNA, 2824 nt
Filed under: Medicago truncatula (barrel medic)
Lineage: Eukaryota; Viridiplantae; Streptophyta; Magnoliopsida; Fabales; Fabaceae
Description: long non-coding RNA (MTRU_LNC008043)
Source: RNAcentral